Gossypium raimondii (Peruvian cotton) is the source of this 2228-nucleotide long non-coding RNA. RefSeq lists it as uncharacterized. The record is from RefSeq and is a predicted model, not a curated record. The transcript has 6 exons. NCBI's taxonomy places the organism in Eukaryota, Viridiplantae, Streptophyta, Magnoliopsida, Malvales, Malvaceae.
ACGAGAUCAAGAAUACCUUGUAAUAUAAGUUUAUAUCCGCUCCUCACCAAAUACUCCCUGGAUGCCUCCACUCGCCACACUAUGUAAUCAUCAUGUGGGAAUCUUGCCAACGGAAUACACAAAAUUCAUCUUACAUCACUGUCACAGAAGCUCCUAGCACUCAUGCAGCCUUCUCCAUUGGGAUUACCUUUCCUGUCCAGGCCUGCCAGCAAAGCUUAGCUUGUAAGAGGCCCUUAGUAGCCCUUACACUCUUCUAUGUAUAGGAAGGUACAUCGUUUUUCUUGGGCACGAUUAUGCCCGGGAUCUUGAGGAACAAGAAGUUGUGCAAAUUCAGCCCCUGAGGAAUUGACCCUACUUCCCUUAUUGCCUUCAGGAAUUCUUGUGUUUGAUUCAGAAAUAGAGAAGACUGUGAGAGCUAAUCGCAAGGAAACAAAGCUACAUAAAAAACAGUCAGAGGUGGUAGGGACUCAGAGUAACCCACUGCCGGAAAUAGAACCAGGUUUUCUUCCAGCAUCAUAUGUAUCCGAGUUAAGAAAGGAGAUCAUUGGGAUAAGGCAAAAAGAAGUAAAGUCUUUUUAUGACUAUUGGGAGCGAUUUAAGAAGUUGUGUGCAAGUUGCCUACAACAUGGUAUAACGGAACAGUCUCUACUCCAAUACUUUUAUGAAAGCUUGAAGCUCAUAGAAAUGAACAUGGUAGAUGCCGCCAAUAUAGGGGCAUUGGUCAACAUGACUCCCCAACAGGCAAGGGACUUAUCUCCACGAUGGCUGCAAAUACUCAGAAAUUUCGAGCCAAUCCUGAAUCCACUAGAAUGGUUCACCAGCUAAGUAAUUCAACUUUAAAAGAUAAAGUUGAUAGACUUACUAAUAUUGUGAAUUCUCUUUUUACAGUAAAAACAGGACUAGCCCGACAGUAUGGAAUUUGUGCAACACCCGAACAUACAACUGAUGCAUGCCUUAGUUUGUGUGACGAUACUAUGACCCAUUUAGAUGCUGUGGGGAACUUUCCUGGACUGCCCUAAAUGCGAUAUGACCCCUAUGCAAAUAUAUAUAACCCAGGAUGAAAAGACCAUCCUAACUUGAGUUAUGGGGCAAACCUACAGUAUAACAAGCCAUACCAAAACCAGUUUCCACAACAAACGCAAGAUUCAGCAAAUACAACGGUAAACUCUCUAUCUCCAAAAACAAACAAAAGAUUUUCAACAGAAAAUUGAGGCAUCUAUAAGAGAGUUAACUACAUCAAUUGAGAAAAUGAACUCACAAGGAAAGCUGCCAUCACAAACGGAAUCUAACCCAAGACAAUACGCAAAUGCAGUGACGUUACGAAGUGGAAAAGUACUGGAACCGAAUCCUGGCAGGAAUCUUGAUCAAGAUUUCACCUAGAAAAAGAAAGAGAACGAUGAACAGGUCUGAACAAAACAUCCAUUACCCAUAAUUCAACCACCGUUUCUAGGACGAUUGAGCCAACAUCGGUGAGGUAAGGGGAAAAAGAGAUCCUCGAAAAAUUUAGAAAUGUCGAGAUCAACAUACCAUUGUUGGAUGCCAUCAAACAAAUUUCAUGAUAUGCCAAGUUCCUUAAGGAGCUUUGCAUCAACAAGCAAAAGAUUUUCAACAGAAAAUUGAGGCAUCCAUAAGAGAGUUGACUACAUCAAUUGAGAAAAUGAACUCAUAAGGAAAGCUGCCAUCACAAACGGAAUCUAACCCAAGACAAUACGCAAAUGCAGUGACGUUACGAAGUGGAAAAGUACUGGAACCGAAUCCUGGCAGGAACCUUGAUCAAGAUUUUGCCUAGAAAAAGAAAGAGAACGAUGAACAGGUCUGAACGAAACCUCCAUUGCCCAUAAUUCAACCACCGUUUAUAGGACGAUUGAGCCAAUAUCGGAGAGGUAAGGGGGAAAAAGAGAUCCUCGAAAAAUUUAUAAAUGUCGAGAUCAACAUACCAUUGUUAGAUGCCAUCAAACAAAUUUCAUGAUAUGCCAAGUUCCUUAAGGAGCUUUGCAUCAACAAGCAAAAAUUGACUGGAAAUGAAAGAGUAAGUGUAGAUGAAAAUGUAUCUGCGAUAUUGCAGUGGAAGAUGCCAGUAAAAUGUAAAGACAAUGGCAUGUUUGCAAUACCAUGCAAAAUAGGCCACUUAGGAAUUAAAAAAGCUAUGAGUGAUUUAGGGCCCCCCAUAAAUGUAAUGCAUUUUUCUAUUAAUGAAUCACUUAACAUGGGUUUUUUUAUGGAAACAA